Molecule: ribosomal RNA, 253 nt
Filed under: uncultured bacterium
Lineage: Bacteria
Description: partial 16S ribosomal RNA
Rfam family: Bacterial small subunit ribosomal RNA
Source: RNAcentral
UACAGAGGUCUCGAGCGUUGUUCGGAUUCAUUGGGCGUAAAGGGUGCGUAGGUGGCGUGGUAAGUCUGGUGUGAAAUCCCGGGGCUCAACCCCGGAACUGCACUGGAUACUGCCAUGCUUGAGUACUGGAGAGGAGAUUGGAAUUUACGGUGUAGCAGUGAAAUGCGUAGAUAUGCGGAGGAACACCGAUGGCGAAGGCAAUCCCCUGGGCCUGCACUGACGCUCAUGCACGAAAGCGUGGGGAGCAAACAGG